RNAcentral lists this RNase P RNA (343 nucleotides) under bovine gut metagenome. RNAcentral describes it as "Bacterial RNase P class A". It matches the Rfam family "Bacterial RNase P class A". From Rfam's summary of the family: Ribonuclease P (RNase P) is a ubiquitous endoribonuclease, found in archaea, bacteria and eukarya as well as chloroplasts and mitochondria. Its best characterised activity is the generation of mature 5'-ends of tRNAs by cleaving the 5'-leader elements of precursor-tRNAs. The record is from RNAcentral.
GUCGCCGGCAGCUUAAUGCUGCGGGAGGAAAGUCCGGGCAGCACAGAGUCACCAUACUUCCUAACGGGAAGGGGCUCUUCGUGAAAACGGAGCGUCACAGCAAGUGCCACAGAAAACAGACCGCCUACGGGUAAGGGUGAAAACGCGAGGCAAGAGCUCACGGCUUCCGCAGCGAUGCGGAUGACGGCAAACCUUAUGGGCUGAAAGACCAAAUAUACCGGCAGUUAAGGGUUGACUCGCCCGUUGCCGGGGGGUAGGUUGAUUGAGACAGUCGGCGACGGCUGUCCUAGAUUAAUGGCAGAGAACCGCGUCAGCGGUUACAGAACCCGGCUUACACGUUGCC